AAUUAAAGGAUGGCGACUCUGCUGCUAGUGGGCCCCAGAUUAUCCCCUGCCGAGCAGGGACUAGAAGAGUUUCAAGACCUACUCAGCACGGAGCACUAGGAAAUGCUACCUAGAGGAGAAGCUACAUGGAGACUUCCAGAAGAGUUGAGCUCCUUCCUGACAAGGUUGGAACACGCGGUGGAGGGCAAAGCACUUCUCAGGGAAUCACCAGGGAUCCCUGCAAAACGCUUUCCAGAGACCCCACUGAAGAGCUGCACCAACCUCACUUGCUGCCAGAAACCUGCCUGGGGUUGGAGCACUGUGGUGACCCCGCAGGGCCGCAAACUCAGAGCCAGUUGCUCAUUUCUAGGUUCAAUGGUGACUUUUCUCCCUCCCGGUGGAUCUGCAAGGAUAAAAUAAAAAAUAUAUGAAAAUA
Long non-coding RNA from Cavia porcellus (domestic guinea pig), 415 nucleotides. RefSeq lists it as uncharacterized. The transcript has 2 exons. The record is from RefSeq and is a predicted model, not a curated record. NCBI's taxonomy places the organism in Eukaryota, Metazoa, Chordata, Mammalia, Rodentia, Caviidae.